ACUCCUACGGGAGGCAGCAGUGGGGAAUAUUGCACAAUGGGGGAAACCCUGAUGCAGCCAUGCCGCGUGUGUGAAGAAGGCCUUCGGGUUGUAAAGCACUUUCAGUAGGGAGGAAGGUAGUGUAGUUAACACCUGCAUAUUGAUCGUUACCUACAGAAGAAGCACCGGCUAACUCCGUGCCAGCAGCCGCGGUAAUACGGAGGGUGCGAGCGUUAAUCGGAAUUACUGGGCGUAAAGCGCAUGCAGGCGGCCUGUUAAGUCAGAUGUGAAAGCCCGGGGCUUAACCUCGGAAUUGCAUUUGAAACUGGCAGGCUAGAGUCUUGUAGAGGGGGUGAGAAUUAUCAGGUGUAGCGGUGAAAUGCGUAGAGAUCUG
Molecule: ribosomal RNA, 373 nt
Filed under: uncultured bacterium
Lineage: Bacteria
Description: bacterial SSU rRNA
Rfam family: Bacterial small subunit ribosomal RNA
Source: RNAcentral